GACGAACGCUGGCGGCGUGCUUAACACAUGCAAGUCGAACGGAAAGGCCCUGCUUUUGUGGGGUGCUCGAGUGGCGAACGGGUGAGUAACACGUGAGUAACCUGCCCUUGACUUUGGGAUAACUUCAGGAAACUGGGGCUAAUACCGGAUAGGAGCUCCUGCUGCAUGGUGGGGGUUGGAAAGUUUCGGCGGUUGGGGAUGGACUCGCGGCUUAUCAGCUUGUUGGUGGGGUAGUGGCUUACCAAGGCUUUGACGGGUAGCCGGCCUGAGAGGGUGACCGGCCACAUUGGGACUGAGAUACGGCCCAGACUCCUACGGGAGGCAGCGGUGGGGAAUAUUGCACAAUGGGCGGAAGCCUGAUGCAGCAACGCCGCGUGCGGGAUAACGGCCUUCGGGUUGUAAACCGCUUUCGCCUGUGACGAAGCGUGAGUGACGGUAAUGGGUAAAGAAGCACCGGCUAACUACGUG
RNAcentral lists this ribosomal RNA (468 nucleotides) under uncultured bacterium. Its description in RNAcentral is "partial 16S ribosomal RNA". It matches the Rfam family "Bacterial small subunit ribosomal RNA", at positions 28 to 507 of the family's 1533-position model. The record is from RNAcentral.